GAUGAACGCUGGCGGCGUGCCUAAUACAUGCAAGUCGAGCGAACAGACGAGGAGCUUGCUCCUCUGACGUUAGCGGCGGACGGGUGAGUAACACGUGGAUAACCUACCUAUAAGACUGGGAUAACUUCGGGAAACCGGAGCUAAUACCGGAUAAUAUAUUGAACCGCAUGGUUCAAUAGUGAAAGACGGUCUUGCUGUCACUUAUACAUGGAUCCGCGCCGCAUUAGCUAGUUGGUAAGGUAACGGCUUACCAAGGCAACGAUGCGUAGCCGACCUGAGAGGGUGAUCGGCCACACUGGAACUGAGACACGGUCCAGACUCCUACGGGAGGCAGCAGUAGGGAAUCUUCCGCAAAGGGCGAAAGCUUGACGGAGCAACGCCGCGUGAGUGAUGAAGGUCUUCGGAUCGUAAAACUCUGUUAUUAGGGAAGAACAAAUGUGUAAGUAACUAUGCACGUCUUGACGGUACCUAAUCAGAAAGCCACGGCUAACUACGUG
This 497-nucleotide ribosomal RNA is filed under the name uncultured bacterium. Its description in RNAcentral is "partial 16S ribosomal RNA". It matches the Rfam family "Bacterial small subunit ribosomal RNA", at positions 28 to 507 of the family's 1533-position model. The record is from RNAcentral.